UUAGUUAUUAUAUUCUUAUUUUUCAUGCAUCAAGAGACAUUUAAAGAUUUAUAAACUUGUUUUUGUGAAAAUCAGUCCAAUAAUCAUUAUUUAAUGUUGAGAAGAGCUGCUGUUGAGUCUCAUAUCAGUGUGUGUGAGUGUCGUUCGUCUCUUUCUCUGCUGGAGUUUGUGUUCAUUUGAGUGUGACGGAGGUUUUUGUACGACGCUUUCACUAGAAUGAAGCACUGUGGUGGACUUUCGGUGGAGGAACUAAACUGACCAUCACUGGUCCCGCAGUGAAGCCCUCCGUGUCUCUGCUGCCGCCCUCUUCUCUGCAGAUCUCUGGAGACUCAGCCGCACUGCUCUGCCUGCUCAGCUCUUACUCUCCACAGGGGGCGACGGUGAGCUGGACGCUGGAGGUCAGCGAGGGGGUCCAGACCAGCGCAGAGAGCGAGCGGGACGGACGCUACAGCCGCAGCAGCGUCCUGAGCCUCAGCAAAGCACGCUGGGAAGGCGCGGAUCGCUUCGUCUGCAGAGUAAGACAUGACGGAGCUGAUCACGAGGCCUCGUUCCUCAAGAGCUCCCAGUGCUGAUGUUUCUCCGGUCCAGACGAGCCGUAUCUGAGCGUCCGGCAGGAUUCACAGCAGUCACGUGAUUUACAGCUCAAUACUGAAGCAGUCUUUCAAUGUGCUGCCAUUGCUGUUCAUUCAAUAAAGCUUCUGAACGCGUUA
Megalobrama amblycephala (Wuchang bream) is the source of this 710-nucleotide long non-coding RNA. RefSeq lists it as uncharacterized. The record is from RefSeq and is a predicted model, not a curated record. NCBI's taxonomy places the organism in Eukaryota, Metazoa, Chordata, Actinopteri, Cypriniformes, Xenocyprididae. The transcript is spliced from 2 exons.